CUCACAGCCCUGGAGGCUGAUGAACCCUCUUUAUCUACACAGCAGGUAAGGCACAAACAGUGGCAAUGUGAGCUCUCUGUGCACUCCCCUGCCAGUGUGCCUGACUGCUAAUCUGGGGGAACAAAGGAAAGAUAGCAUAUGGAUAGCAGAUUGCACUGAGCGCCGAAGGAGGACUGAGGAAAUCUAUGUU
Molecule: unclassified non-coding RNA, 190 nt
Organism: Apteryx haastii (Great spotted kiwi)
Lineage: Eukaryota; Metazoa; Chordata; Aves; Apterygiformes; Apterygidae
Source: Ensembl